RNAcentral lists this ribosomal RNA (2878 nucleotides) under Burkholderia cenocepacia. RNAcentral describes it as "23S ribosomal RNA". It matches the Rfam family "Bacterial large subunit ribosomal RNA". Lineage: Bacteria; Pseudomonadati; Pseudomonadota; Betaproteobacteria; Burkholderiales; Burkholderiaceae. The record is from RNAcentral.
UCAAGCGAACAAGUGCAUGUGGUGGAUGCCUUGGCGAUCACAGGCGAUGAAGGACGCGGUAGCCUGCGAAAAGCUACGGGGAGCUGGCAAACGAGCUUUGAUCCGUAGAUGUCCGAAUGGGGAAACCCGGCCCUUUUGGGUCAUCCUAGACUGAAUACAUAGGUCUAGUGAAGCGAACGCGGUGAACUGAAACAUCUAAGUAACCGCAGGAAAAGAAAUCAACCGAGAUUCCCAAAGUAGUGGCGAGCGAAAUGGGAUGAGCCUUGCACUCUUUAUUUGUAUUGUUAGCCGAACGCUCUGGAAAGUGCGGCCAUAGCAGGUGAUAGCCCUGUAGGCGAAAACAGUAUGAAAGAACUAGGUGUGCGACAAGUAGGGCGGGACACGUGAAAUCCUGUCUGAAGAUGGGGGGACCAUCCUCCAAGGCUAAAUACUCGUGAUCGACCGAUAGUGAACCAGUACCGUGAGGGAAAGGCGAAAAGAACCCCGGGAGGGGAGUGAAAUAGAUCCUGAAACCGCAUGCAUACAAACAGUCGGAGCCUCGCAAGGGGUGACGGCGUACCUUUUGUAUAAUGGGUCAGCGACUUACGUUCAGUAGCAAGCUUAACCGUAUAGGGCAGGCGUAGCGAAAGCGAGUCCGAAUAGGGCGUUCAGUUGCUGGGCGUAGACCCGAAACCAGGUGAUCUAUCCAUGGCCAGGAUGAAGGUGCGGUAACACGUACUGGAGGUCCGAACCCACUAACGUUGAAAAGUUAGGGGAUGAGCUGUGGAUAGGGGUGAAAGGCUAAACAAACCUGGAAAUAGCUGGUUCUCUCCGAAAACUAUUUAGGUAGUGCCUCGUGUCUCACCUUCGGGGGUAGAGCACUGUCAUGGUUGGGGGGUCUAUUGCAGAUUACCCCGCCAUAGCAAACUCCGAAUACCGAAGAGUGCAAUCACGGGAGACAGACAUCGGGUGCUAACGUCCGGUGUCAAGAGGGAAACAACCCAGACCGCCAGCUAAGGUCCCCAAAUAUAGCUAAGUGGGAAACGAAGUGGGAAGGCUAAAACAGUCAGGAGGUUGGCUUAGAAGCAGCCACCCUUUAAAGAAAGCGUAAUAGCUCACUGAUCGAGUCGUCCUGCGCGGAAGAUGUAACGGGGCUAAGCUAUAUACCGAAGCUGCGGAUGCGAGCUUGCUCGCAUGGUAGGAGAGCGUUCCGUAAGCCUGCGAAGGUGCCUUGUAAAGGGUGCUGGAGGUAUCGGAAGUGCGAAUGCUGACAUGAGUAGCGAUAAAGGGGGUGAAAGGCCCCCUCGCCGUAAGCCCAAGGUUUCCUACGCAACGUUCAUCGGCGUAGGGUGAGUCGGCCCCUAAGGCGAGGCAGAAAUGCGUAGCUGAUGGGAAGCAGGUCAAUAUUCCUGCACCAUUGUUAGAUGCGAUGGGGGGACGGAUCGCGGAAGGUUGUCCGGGUGUUGGAAGUCCCGGUCGCUGCAUUGGAGAAGGCGCUUAGGCAAAUCCGGGCGCAGGAUUCAAGGGUGUGGCGCGAGCUCCUUAGGGAGCGAAGCAAUUGGAAGUGGUUCCAAGAAAAGCCUCUAAGCUUCAGUCUAACGAUGACCGUACCGCAAACCGACACAGGUGGGCGAGAUGAGUAUUCUAAGGCGCUUGAGAGAACUCGGGAGAAGGAACUCGGCAAAUUGGUACCGUAACUUCGGGAUAAGGUACGCCCUUGUAGCUUGACUGGCCUGCGCCAGGAGGGUGAAGGGGUUGCAAUAAACUGGUGGCUGCGACUGUUUAAUAAAAACACAGCACUCUGCAAACACGAAAGUGGACGUAUAGGGUGUGACGCCUGCCCGGUGCCGGAAGAUUAAAUGAUGGGGUGCAAGCUCUUGAUUGAAGUCCCGGUAAACGGCGGCCGUAACUAUAACGGUCCUAAGGUAGCGAAAUUCCUUGUCGGGUAAGUUCCGACCUGCACGAAUGGCGUAACGAUGGCCACACUGUCUCCUCCCGAGACUCAGCGAAGUUGAAGUGUUUGUGAUGAUGCAAUCUACCCGCGGCUAGACGGAAAGACCCCAUGAACCUUUACUGUAGCUUUGCAUUGGACUUUGAACCGAUCUGUGUAGGAUAGGUGGGAGGCUAUGAAACCGGAACGCUAGUUUCGGUGGAGCCGUCCUUGAAAUACCACCCUGGUUUGUUUGAGGUUCUAACCUUGGCCCGUGAUCCGGGUCGGGGACAGUGCAUGGUAGGCAGUUUGACUGGGGCGGUCUCCUCCCAAAGCGUAACGGAGGAGUACGAAGGUACGCUAGGUACGGUCGGAAAUCGUGCUGAUAGUGCAAUGGCAUAAGCGUGCUUAACUGCGAGACCGACAAGUCGAGCAGGUGCGAAAGCAGGUCAUAGUGAUCCGGUGGUUCUGUAUGGAAGGGCCAUCGCUCAACGGAUAAAAGGUACUCUGGGGAUAACAGGCUGAUACCGCCCAAGAGUUCAUAUCGACGGCGGUGUUUGGCACCUCGAUGUCGGCUCAUCUCAUCCUGGGGCUGUAGCCGGUCCCAAGGGUAUGGCUGUUCGCCAUUUAAAGAGGUACGUGAGCUGGGUUUAAAACGUCGUGAGACAGUUUGGUCCCUAUCUGCCGUGGGCGUUGGAUAUUUGAAGGGGGCUGCUCCUAGUACGAGAGGACCGGAGUGGACGAACCUCUGGUGUACCGGUUGUCACGCCAGUGGCAUCGCCGGGUAGCUAUGUUCGGAAGAGAUAACCGCUGAAAGCAUCUAAGCGGGAAACUCGCCUUAAGAUGAGAUAUCCCUGGGGACUAGAUCCCCUUGAAGGGUCGUUCGAGACCAGGACGUUGAUAGGUCAGGUGUGUAAGCGCAGUAAUGCGUUCAGCUAACUGAUACUAAUUGCCCGUAAGGCUUGAUCC